UGACAGAACUUGUUAGGUUUUUAUCUUUUAUUUGACCAUUUCAUUUUCUCUUCAUCUUGUACACUCAUAGGUUAUCUCCCAUUUUAACCCAAAACAAAGAUAACUUAAUAAGCAUAUCCUUCCAUGAGCUUUUAAAAGAGGCACCCUGUGGGAUGCAUUUCAAAUCUUUUCAUUGUAUCAGAUGUUUAUUUUCACACCCAGAAACAAUAACAUUAUAAAAACAAGAACAAAAAAACCCCCAAAAACCCAGGUUUAUUCAGUCAUUUCAAUGAAAGAUAAAUCCUAUAAAUCAGGACCACCAGUAUUUCAACAACCAUAUCUGAAUGAGUCAAGCAAUCAAUCUCUUAAAACUGUUCUUGGGCUACCUUAAAUCACAGAGUCGGUAUGUUUCCAACACCUCAUUAUGUUUCACAAUGGUGAACCCUGCAGCUCCUCCAUUCAGAGGGUCACAUUUUUAGUCUGGUUUCAUUCACUCACAAAAGAAAAGCAGCUAUGGAGAGAGAAAAGGAAAUAAACCACCUCUAUCAAGGGAAUCGCUGCUAUUAUUGCAAGAGGCUCCGGAGGGGCCAUUAGAAACGUGGGUGUCUGCAUGUCUUUGCUCUAAAUCCCUCCCACCUUCAUUUUCUAUCACAUACAAACAUCCCAAGGGAGGAACCCCAAAGGAGGGCUCGAAGCUAGACAGAAAAGGGAGACGCUAGGAGGGUCAGAGAGCAAGAAAAGGAAACAUAAGUGAGCGCUUUUUUCCUAACAGUUUCUAGGAAAUCUUGAUCCCUGGCCAAGAGCUGUAGUCAACAGCAGGAGGAGCUCUAAAAAGGAGUAUGCGCCGAGAGCCCGCAUCUACCAUCCCCUCCCCGCUAGUAGGCACAGCGUGCAUGUCCUCAGGAGACACCCAGCAGUUGCAAAACACAGGGCUCCACUUGGAGUACAAGCAGAACUAGCCAGGAUACAGUUACUCUCCUGCCAGGAGAGUCACAACAUAGCUUGUGGGAAACAGUGACCUUGAAGGAAACAGAUUGGAAGGACAGAUUCUCAAAGGUCUCUUCAGACUGCAAGGAGCAUUUAACCUCAACUAUUUUCCACCCCACCUAGUAAAUCCUACUCAGUCCCUCUCCUCUCCCCGGAAAAAGUCAACUGCCCAUUCCCAGUAGAGAAUGGGAUGGGUCCCAUUCAACCCAUUCCGCCCCCAAUUUAUUCUCCGACCAUUAUUUCUUCCCAAUGCAACUGUAGCACCAUUUUCCUUAACAAUUUCCCAAAAUAAAAAAAAAAACACGCGCACAUAAUUAACAGUUUUCAAGUGUUAUAAAAAAAAAAAAUCCGCUUUUGAACCCAUCAGAUCCCCACAUUUUUAAUCCAAACACUGGACCUCAGAGAGAAAAAUUAGGCCCAGUCAAUGAAAGUAGUAGCUGCCAUAUUAGUUUAUCUGAACAGAUUGGGGUAUUUGCUCACAGGUCCCCGAGGCCGACAGUAAAUAUCCAAGGUAAACCACCAAGACCCAUCCUAGCAACUUUCCAAAACCCCUUUCCCCUCCCCAGUCUGUAAAGUUGUGGAUUCCUCAUUUGCCUCCAAUUAGGCAGACGGUCCCUUUUCUUUGCCUUCCCACCCCAUUCCUCGGGUUCCCAAGUUCAUUCACGUCAGUCUGAGGUGGCAGUUUGCAGAAUCUCAGUCGCCCCUCUUCUCGCCUUUUGGCCUUCUGGGUCCACUAGCUGCUGGAGACCAGAAUGUCAUCAGUGGGUCGGUGGUCCAAGUUUUCUCUGGGUUAGAGCAGGCUGGUCGUGGAGGGCUGCAGGGAGAUAGAGUCCCUCCCGCCCCAGUCGCUCCCACCCCCGGGGGCAAAGACGAAAGAGGGGCUGGUGUCGGGGGUAGCGGAGCUCCCGGCGCCUGUAACCGCGGCCACAGCUCUCUGAAGUCGCCGCACGGCUUCCUUGAUGAGGUCCCCCGAGAGGAGAAGUUGCUGCAGAAGCCGGUGGGAGUCGUUCCCUCCUGCCCGGAGUCCCGGCUGCCCUCGGUGCCGGUGCCGGUGCCGGUGGUGGUGGUGGUGGUGGUGGUGGUGCCGGUGCCGCUGACGGCGGGAGUGGGCGGCGCCUCGAAGCCAGGUGCGCCUGCACGGGCCCGCCAGCGGCUGCGGGAGGCCCCGCUUGCAGAUGUGCAGGGCAGAGGUGCUGCUCCGGCUCGGUGCUCCCCCCGGGACGCAGGGACUCGACGGCACGCGGGACGGAAGGGGCGCGAUGGCGCCCACGUUGCUCGCCCAGGACAGGGCAGCGCCGGCCCCGUUCCCAGGCCACUGCAGCGGUCCCGACGGCUGCAGGGGCGCCGGAGCCGGUUCCGGAGGCGGCAGCAGCGGCGACGGCUGCUUGCGCGCCAGGGGCUCCCGGGGGGCGGGCCGACUCACGUGCGCCGCGUCCAGUCGCAGCAACUCCCCGAUCUGGGCCACCAGCCUGUCCACAUCCCCCGAGCCCCCGACAGUCACCGACUGCUGCAGCACGAGGAAGCUCUCCUCUUCCUCCCCCUCCUCCUCGUAGUCCUCCGCUCCAGACGCCGCCGUCUCGUAGUCCUCGUCCUCCUCCCUCCGGCACGGCAUGGCCUCGGUCCGCAGCUCGGACUCUGGAGCUCCGCCGCCGCCGCUGCUGUCCCUCCUCAGUCCCUGACGGGCUCCGGCGGCAGCUCCCGAAGACAAGGCGCUAGGGUCUAGCACCGAGCCGGCCGCACCAAGUGCCGCCACCGCCGCCGCAGCUCCGGGAACUGGAGCUCAGCCGGUUCAGUUCGAUUUGUAAACAAUGGGUGACGCGAGGCGUUCGGGCGCUACCACUGCUGCAGGGCGGGGGAGCGUGGGAAUGGAGGGGCUCGGCUGUCUGGAAGGGUCCCGCAGGGCGCGCUGCGGAAGCUUCCCGAGGCGCGGGUGCGGAGCCUUCCUUUUACUGCAGCCGCCCAGCCCUGGGCGAUGGAGACUUCUCGUGAGCUAGCUCGGCAGCUCCGGACCCGCCACUUUCAUUCCACCCCUACGCGUUUGUUCCGGCUGGACUCGCCUUGCCCUCCCCUAGGAGCCCUUGGCUUGGGGUGGGUCUUGCUCUCCCAGGGUUUGGGUUGAAUGGGUAUUAUAACGGAGAGGGGUGAAAAUGCCUAUUAUUCAUCCUGGAAAAGACCGGGCAAGAGAAAAACCCCGGCUACAAAGCCGUGAGAAG
Molecule: long non-coding RNA, 3179 nt
Organism: Sarcophilus harrisii (Tasmanian devil)
Lineage: Eukaryota; Metazoa; Chordata; Mammalia; Dasyuromorphia; Dasyuridae
Source: Ensembl